CCCAGCCGUAAACGAUGGGCGCUAGGUGUGGGGGAGCCGAUCCUCCGUGCCGCAGCCAACGCAUUAAGCGCCCCGCCUGGGGAGUACGGCCGCAAGGCUAAAACUCAAAGGAAUUGACGGGGGCCCGCACAAGCAGCGGAGCAUGUGGCUUAAUUCGAAGCAACGCGAAGAACCUUACCAGGGCUUGACAUCACCGUGAAGCGGCGGAGACGCCGUGGCCGAAAGGAGCGGUGACAGGUGGUGCAUGGCUGU
Molecule: ribosomal RNA, 252 nt
Filed under: uncultured bacterium
Lineage: Bacteria
Description: partial 16S ribosomal RNA
Rfam family: Bacterial small subunit ribosomal RNA
Source: RNAcentral